GAUGAACGCUGGCGGCGUGCCUAAUACAUGCAAGUCGAGCGAACAGACGAGGAGCUUGCUCCUCUGACGUUAGCGGCGGACGGGUGAGUAACACGUGGAUAACCUACCUAUAAGACUGGGAUAACUUCGGGAAACCGGAGCUAAUACCGGAUAAUAUAUUGAACCGCAUGGUUCAAUAGUGAAAGACGGUUUUGCUGUCACUUAUAGAUGGUUCCGCGCCGCAUUAGCUAGUUGGUAAGGUAACGGCUUACCAAGGCAACGAUGCGUAGCCGACCUGAGAGGGUGAUCGGCCACACUGGAACUGAGACACGGUCCAGACUCCUACGGGAGGCAGCAGUAGGGAAUCUUCCGCAAUGGGCGAAAGCCUGACGGAGCAACGCCGCGUGAGUGAUGAAGGUCUUCGGAUCGUAAAACUCUGUUAUUAGGGAAGAACAAUUGUGUAAGUAACUAUGCACGUCUUGACGGUACCUAAUCAGAAAGCCACGGCUAACUACGUG
This 497-nucleotide ribosomal RNA is filed under the name uncultured bacterium. RNAcentral describes it as "partial 16S ribosomal RNA". It matches the Rfam family "Bacterial small subunit ribosomal RNA", at positions 28 to 507 of the family's 1533-position model. The record is from RNAcentral.